Molecule: ribosomal RNA, 441 nt
Filed under: uncultured bacterium
Lineage: Bacteria
Description: bacterial SSU rRNA
Rfam family: Bacterial small subunit ribosomal RNA
Source: RNAcentral
AACGCGAAGAACCUUACCUACCCUUGACAUCUAGCGAAUCCCGGUUAAGCGCUGGGAGUGCCGAAAGGAACGCUAAGACAGGUGCUGCAUGGCUGUCGUCAGCUCGUGUCGUGAGAUGUUGGGUUAAGUCCCGUAACGAGCGCAACCCCUAUCCUUCGUUGCUAACAGGUCAAGCUGAGAACUCGAAGGAGACUGCCGGUGACAAACCGGAGGAAGGUGGGGAUGACGUCAAGUCAUCAUGGCCUUUAUGGGUAGGGCUACACACGUACUACAAUGGGGUGUACAGAGGGUUGCCAACCCGCAAGGGGGAGCUAAUCCCACAAAACACCUCGUAGUCCGGAUCGGAGUCUGCAACUCGACUCCGUGAAGUCGGAAUCGCUAGUAAUCGCGGAUCAGCAUGCCGCGGUGAAUACGUUCUCGGGCCUUGUACACACCGCAUAC